Molecule: non-coding RNA, 750 nt
Organism: Gasterosteus aculeatus aculeatus (three-spined stickleback)
Lineage: Eukaryota; Metazoa; Chordata; Actinopteri; Perciformes; Gasterosteidae
Source: RefSeq, a predicted model, not a curated record
AGGAGUGCCUGUGCACAUUUAAAUCUUUCAAUGCACUCAAAGUCCACUUAUCAACAUGGCACACUCAAAAGGACCUAAGGAACGUGAGUGAAACUGCUUUCCAUUGUAAAAAAGGAGCCUGCUGUACACAACAUGGUUGAACGAUGGCCAGCACUCUUCACAGAGCGACAGGUGUUUGCCGAGUUUAAUCGAAUCGCCAGUAAGAAUCUUGAGGGAGACUUCUUUGAGGCUCUGGACCAGUACACCCCGCGGCUCAUAGACAUUUUCAAAACAAAAAGAGGAACCGUUGGCCGGAAACUCAGUGAGCUGAUGCAGCACAUGAGCUGAUGGAUACAGCAAGAGACGAGGCCCUAGAAUGCAUCACUGUUGGUGUGUUGACAGUUGUCAGUGAAGAUCCUCACGAGGGUCCACGUUCAGUGGACCUCCAGCCCAUCUCCACUGCCAUCAUUCUGGAGGGACGUAUCGUCAUGGAUCACAUUAAAAACUUGCCUCAGGCAGUUGGUCUGUUAUUUGGGCUAACAUAUGCUUUGCAUUUGGAUUACCCAAAAUGCUUGCAAAGACACUCAACUUCAUUCAGACUGUGAUGCUUGGACUGGGAAAGAAAAACCUCCCACUAAAAGUGUUAACUCUGAAGAACAGUCUCCUGGAUUAGACUAGUAAAGAGCUAAAUCAACUGUCAGCAAUUUAAAAGUUAUAAUAAUGUUCUCCUGUUAUUAGAUAAAGUGUGAUGCUUUCAUGCAACUUGUUUAU